This 402-nucleotide ribosomal RNA is filed under the name uncultured bacterium. Its description in RNAcentral is "bacterial SSU rRNA". It matches the Rfam family "Bacterial small subunit ribosomal RNA", at positions 355 to 774 of the family's 1533-position model. The record is from RNAcentral.
UGGGGAAUAUUGCACAAUGGGCGAAAGCCUGAUGCAGCAACGCCGCGUGAGUGAUGAAGGCCUUCGGGUUGUAAAGCUCUGUCUUCUGGGACGAUAAUGACGGUACCAGAGGAGGAAGCCACGGCUAACUACGUGCCAGCAGCCGCGGUAAUACGUAGGUGGCAAGCGUUGUCCGGAUUUACUGGGCGUAAAGGAUGCGUAGGCGGAUACUUAAGUCAGAUGUGAAAAUCACGGGCUUAACUUGGGAACUGCAUUUGAAACUGGGUAUCUAGAGUGCGGGAGAGGAAAGUGGAAUUCCCAGUGUAGCGGUGAAAUGCGUAGAGAUUAGGAAGAACACCAGUGGCGAAGGCGACUUUCUGGACCGUAACUGACGCUGAGGCAUGAAAGCGUGGGGAGCAAACA